Molecule: long non-coding RNA, 343 nt
Organism: Adelges cooleyi (spruce gall adelgid)
Lineage: Eukaryota; Metazoa; Arthropoda; Insecta; Hemiptera; Adelgidae
Exons: 3
Source: RefSeq, a predicted model, not a curated record
AUUGAAUCUUCAAUCAUCAUUUACUGAAUCAAUAAUAGUAUGUUCAAUAUUAAUAUGGACUAUCUCAACUUAAAUUGAUAUUUGUUAUUGUCUACAACUACACUACUACCAACGUCAAAUUUGGUGUAUUAUAUUAUUGUAGUCAAUCAGUCUAAUACAAUUCCAUCAAUACAUUGUCGAAUGUUGUGGUAUUCAAUUUUCAGUAAAUUUAUAGGUGUUUUAUUUUAAGUUACUGUGGCACACUAUUGCAGAUAACGGUUUUCCAUUAAGUCAGUAAGAAGAAUAAGAUGGAUUCACAAGUUCAAAUCAAAUAUUAGACAACAAUAUAUAUUUAGUUAUUCAG